GUGCUCACUUUGGCAGCACAUAUGCUAAAAUUAGAACAAUACAGAAAAUAUUAGCAUGACACCUGCUCAAUGAUACCAUGCAACUUCAUAAAGUAGUCCACAUUUUU
Small nuclear RNA from Pteronotus mesoamericanus, 107 nucleotides. The record is from RefSeq and is a predicted model, not a curated record. Lineage: Eukaryota; Metazoa; Chordata; Mammalia; Chiroptera; Mormoopidae.